RNAcentral lists this small RNA (122 nucleotides) under Pseudomonas asturiensis. Lineage: Bacteria; Pseudomonadati; Pseudomonadota; Gammaproteobacteria; Pseudomonadales; Pseudomonadaceae. The record is from RNAcentral.
AUGGACGUAGCGCAGGAUGCGCAAUAAGACAUAAAAGGGACACGUAGGGAUGCCUGCCAGGAAGGUGGGAAGAAAAGGAUGUCAGGGAAACAGUCUGGAAAGCCCCGCUUAUGCGGGGUUUU